Molecule: ribosomal RNA, 419 nt
Filed under: Eremogryllodes bifurcatus
Lineage: Eukaryota; Metazoa; Arthropoda; Insecta; Orthoptera; Myrmecophilidae
Description: partial large subunit ribosomal RNA
Rfam family: Bacterial large subunit ribosomal RNA
Source: RNAcentral
AAUCAAUAGUUUUUUAAUUGAAAACUGGAAUGAAUGAUUUGACGAGGUACCAACUGUGUCGUUUUGAGAAAUUGAAUUUAACUUUUUAGUCAAAAGGCUGAGAUGAUGAUAGAGGACGAGAAGACCCUAUAGAGCUUGAUUAAUUAAUUUUGAUAGAAGAUGUGGGGAUGAAUUUUCUAUUGGGAUAGGUUGAUUUCGUUGGGGUGACGAGUAGAUAUAUUAUAACUCUAUUGAAUUUUAACAGUAAUUGAUGGUUUAUUGAUUUUGUAGUAUAAGUUGAAGAAAAGCUACCUUAGGGAUAACAGCGUUAUUUUUUUUGAGAGUUCUUAUUGAUAAAGGAGUUUGCGACCUCGAUGUUGGAUUAAGGGGCCUUUUGGGUGUAGAAGCUCGAAGGUGGGGGUCUGUUCGACCAUUAAAUU